RNAcentral lists this ribosomal RNA (1636 nucleotides) under Listeria monocytogenes. RNAcentral describes it as "partial 23S ribosomal RNA". It matches the Rfam family "Bacterial large subunit ribosomal RNA", at positions 409 to 2043 of the family's 2925-position model. Lineage: Bacteria; Bacillati; Bacillota; Bacilli; Caryophanales; Listeriaceae. The record is from RNAcentral.
UGAGUACGGCGGAACACGUGAAAUUCCGUCGGAAUCCGGGAGGACCAUCUCCCAAGGCUAAAUACUCCCUAGUGACCGAUAGUGAACCAGUACCGUGAGGGAAAGGUGAAAAGCACCCCGGAAGGGGAGUGAAACAGUUCCUGAAACCGUGUGCCUACAAGUAGUUAGAGCCCGUUAAUGGGUGAUAGCGUGCCUUUUGUAGAAUGAACCGGCGAGUUACGAUUUGUUGCAAGGUUAAGCGGAAAAAGCGGAGCCGUAGCGAAAGCGAGUCUGAAUAGGGCGCAUAAGUAACAGGUCGUAGACCCGAAACCAGGUGAUCUACCCAUGUCCAGGAUGAAGGUAAGGUAAUACUUACUGGAGGUCCGAACCCACGCACGUUGAAAAGUGCGGGGAUGAGGUGUGGGUAGCGGAGAAAUUCCAAUCGAACUUGGAGAUAGCUGGUUCUCUCCGAAAUAGCUUUAGGGCUAGCCUCGAGGUAAAGAGUCAUGGAGGUAGAGCACUGUUUGGACUAGGGGCCCUUCUCGGGUUACCGAAUUCAGAUAAACUCCGAAUGCCAUGUACUUAUACUCGGGAGUCAGACUGCGAGUGAUAAGAUCCGUAGUCGAAAGGGAAACAGCCCAGACCACCAGUUAAGGUCCCCAAAUAUAUGUUAAGUGGAAAAGGAUGUGGGGUUGCUUAGACAACCAGGAUGUUGGCUUAGAAGCAGCCACCAUUGAAAGAGUGCGUAAUAGCUCACUGGUCGAGUGACCCCGCGCCGAAAAUGUACCGGGGCUAAACAUAUUACCGAAACUGUGGAUGAACCUCUUUAGAGGUUCGUGGUAGGAGAGCGUUCUAAGGGCGGUGAAGUCAGACCGGAAGGACUGGUGGAGCGCUUAGAAGUGAGAAUGCCGGUAUGAGUAGCGAAAGAAGGGUGAGAAUCCCUUCCACCGAAUAUCUAAGGUUUCCUGAGGAAGGCUCGUCCGCUCAGGGUUAGUCGGGACCUAAGCCGAGGCCGAUAGGCGUAGGCGAUGGACAACAGGUAGAGAUUCCUGUACCAGUGCUAAUUGUUUAACCGAUGGGGUGACACAGAAGGAUAGGGAAUCGCACGAAUGGAAAUGUGCGUCCAAGCAGUGAGUGUGAGAAGUAGGCAAAUCCGCUUCUCGCGAAGCAUGAGCUGUGAUGGGGAAGGAAAUUAAGUACGGAAGUUCCUGAUUUCACGCUGUCAAGAAAAGCCUCUAGGAAGAGUAGUACUGCCCGUACCGCAAACCGACACAGGUAGAUGAGGAGAGAAUCCUAAGGUGAGCGAGAGAACUCUCGUUAAGGAACUCGGCAAAAUGACCCCGUAACUUCGGGAGAAGGGGUGCUCUAUUAGGGUGCAAGCCCGAGAGAGCCGCAGUGAAUAGGCCCAGGCGACUGUUUAGCAAAAACACAGGUCUCUGCAAAACCGUAAGGUGACGUAUAGGGGCUGACGCCUGCCCGGUGCUGGAAGGUUAAGAGGAGUGCUUAGCUUCGGCGAAGGUACGAAUUGAAGCCCCAGUAAACGGCGGCCGUAACUAUAACGGUCCUAAGGUAGCGAAAUUCCUUGUCGGGUAAGUUCCGACCCGCACGAAAGGCGCAACGAUCUGGGCACUGUCUCAACGAGAGACUCGGUGAAAUU